GACCGGAGAGAAAAGAUGCAGAGAAACACAAAUUCAACAGAGUUCAUAGUUGUGGCAGUGGUUCCAAUCUACCUACCAUUUAAAAACGCAGAGGAAAAAAAUGCUCCUUUUCAAUUAAACCUGUGAGGAAAUGCAGAAAAUUCUCAUCCACCAAAUUUCAAAGAACUUGAACCUAUUACUGUGGCUACUUCUUAAUUUAUAUAUCAAAGCAUGUCAAGUUUCCUGUACAAUAAAAACAAAGAGAAAUCAUAAUAUAUCAACUAGAAAUAAGGGUAAGUUUCCAGUAGCAGAGGCAUCAUUAUAGGGAUUGAAAACAUUAUAAAUUUAGCUUUUUUUUUACUUAAAAUUGAAAAUCAUCACCUAUAUUGUAACCUACAAAUUUAUAGAUUUACACUUUUUCAUGUGGCAAAGAUGAUCAACAAUCUAUGUCUAAAAUCACACAAAGAUAGAACAACCUAAUCUAAUAUAUGGCAAGAAGAUAAUUUAAACAUGGAUUAAAAUUAACAACUUCAAUUUUUAUCUUUAAAUAUUUCCUCAUAUACAUUCACAAACCACAACAAGCAAGUGAGGGUGUUUCAAAU
RNAcentral lists this long non-coding RNA (581 nucleotides) under Trifolium pratense (red clover). RNAcentral describes it as "long non-coding RNA (TPRA_LNC005877)". The record is from RNAcentral. Lineage: Eukaryota; Viridiplantae; Streptophyta; Magnoliopsida; Fabales; Fabaceae.